GCCUCCGUGAUGUAAUUGGAAAGCACGUCCGGCUGGUACUCAGGAGUCCCGGAGUUCGAAUCUCGGCUAAGGCA
This 74-nucleotide transfer RNA is filed under the name Stegodyphus mimosarum. It matches the Rfam family "tRNA". From Rfam's summary of the family: Transfer RNA (tRNA) molecules are approximately 80 nucleotides in length. Their secondary structure includes four short double-helical elements and three loops (D, anti-codon, and T loops). Lineage: Eukaryota; Metazoa; Arthropoda; Arachnida; Araneae; Eresidae. The record is from Rfam by way of RNAcentral.